RNAcentral lists this ribosomal RNA (1079 nucleotides) under Salinivibrio costicola. RNAcentral's name for it is "bacterial SSU rRNA". It matches the Rfam family "Bacterial small subunit ribosomal RNA", at positions 34 to 1090 of the family's 1533-position model. The record is from RNAcentral. Lineage: Bacteria; Pseudomonadati; Pseudomonadota; Gammaproteobacteria; Vibrionales; Vibrionaceae.
CGCUGGCGGCAGGCCUAACACAUGCAAGUCGAGCGGAAACGGCAGUAUUGAAGCUUCGGUGGAUUUACUGGACGUCGAGCGGCGGACGGGUGAGUAACGGCUGGGAACCUGCCCUGACGAGGGGGAUAACCGUUGGAAACGACGGCUAAUACCGCAUAAUGUCUACGGACCAAAGGUGGCCUCUACAUGUAAGCUAUCGCGUUGGGAUGGGCCCAGUUAGGAUUAGCUAGUUGGUAAGGUAAUGGCUUACCAAGGCAACGAUCCUUAGCUGGUUUGAGAGGAUGAUCAGCCACACUGGGACUGAGACACGGCCCAGACUCCUACGGGAGGCAGCAGUGGGGAAUAUUGCACAAUGGGGGAGACCCUGAUGCAGCCAUGCCGCGUGUGUGAAGAAGGCCUUCGGGUUGUAAAGCACUUUCAGCAGUGAGGAAGGUCGUGUACUUAAUACGUGCACGGCUUGACGUUAGCUGCAGAAGAAGCACCGGCUAACUCCGUGCCAGCAGCCGCGGUAAUACGGAGGGUGCGAGCGUUAAUCGGAAUUACUGGGCGUAAAGCGCAUGCAGGCGGUUUGUUAAGUCAGAUGUGAAAGCCCGGGGCUCAACCUCGGAACCGCAUUUGAAACUGGCAGGCUAGAGUCUUGUAGAGGGGGGUAGAAUUUCAGGUGUAGCGGUGAAAUGCGUAGAGAUCUGAAGGAAUACCAGUGGCGAAGGCGGCCCCCUGGACAAAGACUGACGCUCAGAUGCGAAAGCGUGGGUAGCAAACAGGAUUAGAUACCCUGGUAGUCCACGCCGUAAACGCUGUCUACUUGGAGGUUGAGGUUUUAGACUUUGGCUUUCGGCGCUAACGCAUUAAGUAGACCGCCUGGGGAGUACGGCCGCAAGGUUAAAACUCAAAUGAAUUGACGGGGGCCCGCACAAGCGGUGGAGCAUGUGGUUUAAUUCGAUGCAACGCGAAGAACCUUACCUACUCUUGACAUCCAGCGAAGCCUUUAGAGAUAGAGGCGUGCCUUCGGGAGCGCUGAGACAGGUGCUGCAUGGCUGUCGUCAGCUCGUGUUGUGAAAUGUUGGGUUAAGUCCCGC